AUUGAACGCUGGCGGCAUGCCUUACACAUGCAAGUCGAACGGCAGCACGGGAGCAAUCCUGGUGGCGAGUGGCGAACGGGUGAGUAAUAUAUCGGAACGUGCCCAGUCGUGGGGGAUAACGCAGCGAAAGCUGUGCUAAUACCGCAUACGAUCUACGGAUGAAAGCGGGGGAUCGCAAGACCUCGCGCGAUUGGAGCGGCCGAAAUCAGAGUAGCUAGUUGGGGAGGUAAAGGCUCACCAAGGCGACGAUCUGUAGCUGGUCUGAGAGGACGACCAGCCACACUGGAACUGAGACACGGUCCAGACUCCUACGGGAGGCAGCAGUGGGGAAUUUUGGACAAUGGGCGCAAGCCUGAUCCAGCAAUGCCGCGUGCAGGAUGAAGGCCUUCGGGUUGUAAACUGCCUUUGUACGGAGCGAAACGGUCUUUCCUAAUACGAGAGGCUAAUGACGGUACCGUAAGAAUAAGCACCGGCUAACUACGUGCCAGCAGCCGCCGUAA
RNAcentral lists this ribosomal RNA (500 nucleotides) under uncultured bacterium. Its description in RNAcentral is "partial 16S ribosomal RNA". It matches the Rfam family "Bacterial small subunit ribosomal RNA", at positions 29 to 523 of the family's 1533-position model. The record is from RNAcentral.